GGAUGUGAGGACAAUCUGGCUGCAAUAUCUCUUACCCCAUUGAUCACCAAGGUUGAUUUGGCUGAUCUAGCUGGCUAAGCUUCCUCCUUCACCACUUCAUGUGCCUCCCUCCCAAAGAUGCAUUCUCAGUUAAGGACAGCCUUCUCUGAAAGAAGAGGACCAUUCUUUGGACAAGGGUAUGAGUAGAUGUUGACUCCUGCAAGAACCUCCAAACAAACUCUCAAGGUCCAUUUGUAGGAGAAUGUAAGCUUCUAAGACUCCAGACACAUGCAAAUGAGGUGUUGCUGCAUGUAGCAGUUUGUUUUUCUUA
RNAcentral lists this small nuclear RNA (310 nucleotides) under Mustela putorius furo (domestic ferret). RNAcentral describes it as "7SK RNA (ENSMPUG00000022625.1)". It matches the Rfam family "7SK RNA". Rfam says of the family: 7SK was discovered as an abundant small nuclear RNA in the mid-70s but a possible function has only recently been suggested. The record is from RNAcentral. Lineage: Eukaryota; Metazoa; Chordata; Mammalia; Carnivora; Mustelidae.